This 483-nucleotide ribosomal RNA is filed under the name uncultured bacterium. Its description in RNAcentral is "bacterial SSU rRNA". It matches the Rfam family "Bacterial small subunit ribosomal RNA", at positions 24 to 518 of the family's 1533-position model. The record is from RNAcentral.
UCAGGACGAACGGCUGGCGGCACGCUUAACACAUGCAAGUCGAACGGAGUUAUUGGAGCUUGCUUUGAUAAACUUAAGUGGCGGACGGGUGAGUAACACGUGAGCAAUCUGCCCUUAAGAGGGGGAUAGCAGUUGGAAACGACUGAUAAUACCGCAUAAGAUAGUAGUACCGCAUGGUACAGCUAUAAAAGAUUUAUCGCUUAAGGAUGAGCUCGCGUCUGAUUAGCUAGUUGGUGAGGUAACGGCUCACCAAGGCAACGAUCAGUAGCCGGACUGAGAGGUUGGACGGCCACAUUGGGACUGAGACACGGCCCAGACUCCUACGGGAGGCAGCAGUGGGGAAUAUUGCACAAUGGAGGAAACUCUGAUGCAAGCGAUGCCGCGUGAGGGAAGAAGGUUUUAGGAUUGUAAACCUCUGUUGACAGGGACGAUAAUGACGGUACCUGUUGAGGAAGCUCCGGCUAACUACGUGCCAGCAGCAGC